RNAcentral lists this small RNA (698 nucleotides) under Pongo abelii (Sumatran orangutan). Its description in RNAcentral is "processed transcript". Lineage: Eukaryota; Metazoa; Chordata; Mammalia; Primates; Hominidae. The record is from RNAcentral.
UAUGACACCUUUACCCGGGAUGAAAAAGUAGGAGAAACAAUUAUUGAUCUGGAAAACCGAUUCCUUUCCCGCUUUGGAUCCCACUGCGGCAUACCAGAGGAGUACUGUGUUUCUGGAGUCAAUACCUGGCGAGAUCAACUGAGACCAACACAGCUGCUUCAAAAUGUCGCCAGAUUCAAAGGCUUCCCACAACCCAUCCUUUCCGAAGAUGGGAGUAGAAUCAGAUAUGGAGGACGAGACUACAGUUUGGAUGAAUUUGAAGCCAACAAGAUCCUGCACCAGCACCUCGGGGCCCCUGAAGAGCGGCUUGCUCUUCACAUCCUCAGGACUCAGGGGCUGGUCCCUGAGCACGUGGAAACAAGGACUUUGCACAGCACUUUCCAGCCCAACAUUUCCCAGCCAUAUGAGCAGUUUCAAGAAAUGACAGAGUGAGGAAGAUUUCUCCCUGGGAAUCCAUAAACCCCCAUCACUUUUGCCUCCAGCAUUAGCCACAGACUGUGGCUGGGUUUGGGGAGACACUGGAUGCCUGAUAUUCUGUAGAGUGCUUGAUGAAUUGUAGAGCCCUGAGCCCUAGAGAUUAGUUGGAGGAGAGUCAGGAUCAUAGUAAAAUACAUCCCUUUUCAAGAGUUCCACUUAAUGUAUUUUGAUCACAAUGCAUUAGGAAGCCAAUCUAGUGGUUUCCUUGGCAACUUUCUUGA